This 472-nucleotide ribosomal RNA is filed under the name uncultured bacterium. RNAcentral's name for it is "partial 16S ribosomal RNA". It matches the Rfam family "Bacterial small subunit ribosomal RNA", at positions 28 to 507 of the family's 1533-position model. The record is from RNAcentral.
GACGAACGCUGGCGGCGUGCUUAACACAUGCAAGUCGAACGCUGAAGCUUGGUGCUUGCACUGGGUGGAUGAGUGGCGAACGGGUGAGUAAUACGUGAGUAACCUGCCCUUGACUCUGGGAUAAGCCUGGGAAACUGGGUCUAAUACUGGAUACGACAUGUCACCGCAUGGUGGUGUGUGGAAAGGGUUUUACUGGUUUUGGAUGGGCUCACGGCCUAUCAGCUUGUUGGUGGGGUAAUGGCUCACCAAGGCGACGACGGGUAGCCGGCCUGAGAGGGUGCCCGGCCACACUGGGACUGAGACACGGCCCAGACUCCUACGGGAGGCAGCAGUGGGGAAUAUUGCACAAUGGGCGGAAGCCUGAUGCAGCGACGCCGCGUGAGGGAUGACGGCCUUCGGGUUGUAAACCUCUUUCAGCACGGAAGAAGCGAAAGUGACGGUACGUGCAGAAGAAGCGCCGGCUAACUACGUG